RNAcentral lists this long non-coding RNA (276 nucleotides) under Anser brachyrhynchus (Pink-footed goose). RNAcentral describes it as "lncRNA (ENSABRG00000014965.1)". Lineage: Eukaryota; Metazoa; Chordata; Aves; Anseriformes; Anatidae. The record is from RNAcentral.
GUUGCUGUAUCAUUUUAAAACUGUCAUUUGUUAAUGUGCUGUUGUUACUAUUGCAGGCUUUGAAAAGUAUGAAGCACUGCCAGACCCGAUUGUGUUACAGCUUACACACACCUGGAACUAAAAGAAAAGAGGAAGAGAAAUGAAAAACAGCCCAGAAGAGUUUUUGAGGGACAUACUCUGCUUCUCCUCAUUUUUUGGGCAGGAGUGCUUCCUGGAGCUGUGAAGCUUGUCGUACACAUUCACAUACAAUCCCAGACAAACAGCUUUUGGAACUGA